Molecule: transfer RNA, 87 nt
Filed under: Strigamia maritima
Lineage: Eukaryota; Metazoa; Arthropoda; Chilopoda; Geophilomorpha; Linotaeniidae
Description: tRNA-Ile for anticodon UAU
Rfam family: tRNA
About the family: Transfer RNA (tRNA) molecules are approximately 80 nucleotides in length. Their secondary structure includes four short double-helical elements and three loops (D, anti-codon, and T loops).
Source: Rfam by way of RNAcentral
UCCCCAGUAGCGCAAUGGUUAGCGCACGGUACUUAUAAUCAGUACAAGGUCAUGCCGGGGUUGUGGGUUCAAGUCCCACCUGGGGAA